This is a long non-coding RNA of Passer montanus (Eurasian tree sparrow), 447 nucleotides long. RefSeq lists it as uncharacterized. The transcript has 3 exons. The record is from RefSeq and is a predicted model, not a curated record. NCBI's taxonomy places the organism in Eukaryota, Metazoa, Chordata, Aves, Passeriformes, Passeridae.
GCUGUGUGCAGUUCUGUGCCCACCUCCUUUUGGAGAUUGCUAGGUUUAUCACAGCACUACCUUGUGUCCUGCUGGUCACUGCAGUACUUCUGGUGGUCCUCAGCAAGAGCCUGAGCUGAUGUGCAGGUCAUAAUGUGGGAGAAGAUACACUGAUUUAUUCUGUGGGAUCCAUAGGGAAGGUAGGGAUUCUGCCUUGCUUUUGUGCUUGGAGGGCUGCAAGGACCUGAGAGCCAAGACCUCAUUACUCAAGAAUCCCUGUGCCUGAAGGACAGCUUUAUCCAAUCUGGACAUUUUGGGUAUCUCACGUUCUGUGUCCAGCUGAGAGGAGUUUGGAUGGCAUCACCAUACACAGGCUAACAUGCAAUAGAAGAAACUCUUCCUGGGAGCUUUGUUCCUGGACCAGAGGUAAUUUCUCCGAGGCUGACAAUGUUGAAAAUUAAUAAUUCC